This 524-nucleotide ribosomal RNA is filed under the name Legionella quinlivanii. Its description in RNAcentral is "bacterial SSU rRNA". It matches the Rfam family "Bacterial small subunit ribosomal RNA", at positions 45 to 558 of the family's 1533-position model. Lineage: Bacteria; Pseudomonadati; Pseudomonadota; Gammaproteobacteria; Legionellales; Legionellaceae. The record is from RNAcentral.
UGCUUAACACAUGCAAGUCGAACGGCAGCACGACCUAGCUUGCUAGGUGGGUGGCGAGUGGCGAACGGGUGAGUAACGCGUAGGAAUAUACCUUAGAGAGGGGGAUAACCUGGGGAAACUCAGGCUAAUACCGCGUACGUUCUUCGGAAUAAAGCUGGGGACCUUCGGGCCUGGCGCUUUAAGAAUAGCCUGCGUCCGAUUAGCUAGUUGGUGGGGUAAGGGCCUACCAAGGCGACGAUCGGUAGCUGGUCUGAGAGGAUGAUCAGCCACACUGGGACUGAGACACGGCCCAGACUCCUACGGGAGGCAGCAGUGGGGAAUAUUGGACAAUGGGGGCAACCCUGAUCCAGCAAUGCCGCGUGUGUGAAGAAGGCCUGAGGGUUGUAAAGCACUUUCAGUGGGGAGGAGGGUUGACAGGUUAAGAGCUAGUUAACUGGACGUUACCCACAGAAGAAGCACCGGCUAACUCCGUGCCAGCAGCCGCGGUAAUACGGAGGGUGCGAGCGUUAAUCGGAAUUACUGGG